RNAcentral lists this ribosomal RNA (253 nucleotides) under uncultured bacterium. Its description in RNAcentral is "partial 16S ribosomal RNA". It matches the Rfam family "Bacterial small subunit ribosomal RNA", at positions 524 to 776 of the family's 1533-position model. The record is from RNAcentral.
UACGAAGGGAGCUAGCGUUGUUCGGAAUCACUGGGCGUAAAGCGCACGUAGGCGGAUUCCUAAGUCGGGGGUGAAAUCCUGGAGCUCAACUCCAGAACUGCCUUCGAUACUGGGAAUCUUGAGUCCGGAAGAGGUGAGUGGAACUGCGAGUGUAGAGGUGAAAUUCGUAGAUAUUCGCAAGAACACCAGUGGCGAAGGCGGCUCACUGGUCCGGUACUGACGCUGAGGUGCGAAAGCGUGGGGAGCAAACAGG